This 1095-nucleotide long non-coding RNA is filed under the name Equus asinus (donkey). RNAcentral describes it as "lncRNA (ENSEASG00005033459.1)". The record is from RNAcentral. Lineage: Eukaryota; Metazoa; Chordata; Mammalia; Perissodactyla; Equidae.
CCUGUGGCCUCACAGGGACGGAAACCUCUCAGAGCCUGAGUGGUCUUGUCACUGUUGCCUUUUGUGGUAGGCUGAAUGACGGCCUUCCAAAGAUGUCCAUGUCCUAACCCCCAGAACCGGGGGAACCUGGAAGAUGUUAAUUUACCAAGGAAGAGGGACUCUGCUGAUGGCAGUAAGUUAAAGAUCUUGAGAUGGGAGAUAAUCAUGGAUUGUCUGCAUGGGCCGAUGAUAUACUCACAAGGCUCUUCAUAAGAGGGAGGCCACAGGGUCAGAGACAGUAGCAGGAGAUGUGACAGGAAGCCAGAUGGAGGAGCGAUGUGAGGAAGGGCCCAGGAGCCAAGAAAUUCAGGCGGCCUCAGAAGCUGGAAAAGGCAAGAAAACAGAUUCUCCCCUGAAGGCUGCCAAAGGAACACAGCUCUGCUGACACCUUGAUUUUAUGGGCUUCUGACCUCCAGAACUAUAAGAGAAUAUAUUUGUGGUGUCUACACCGCUAAGUUCGGUAAUUUACUGCGGAAGCAAUAGGAAACGCACUCUCUGUUCAUGCCAUGACCAUUCCCACUGCUGCUCUUUUGCCCAGGCUGUUACCCUCACCUGAAAUGUCCUUUUCCUUGUCCCUCCACUUUUCUAAAUCUUACUUUCACACUCAAGUCCCAUCUAACACCUACGGCGGAUAAAUUGUUUGCCACAGAAUCAAGAGAGCCCUUGACCACACUCCGACAAGUAUUGCUCAGUGAUUCAUUGGCUCCUCAAAUAUUUGUCCAACAUCUUCUAGGUGCUGGAGACUCACGCCUUCAAGAGGCUCAUGGUCUAAGAAAGGAGGCAACAAGAGACUCAUUCCUUCAGCUAUGAGAGGACUGUUUCUACUGUGGGAGUGCUUCAUUGCCAUGGCGCUUGUGACAAUGACAGAGUUGCUGACGAGCCUGGAGUGGACUGAUUUGAGCUGGUUCAUGGCCCAUUCAUCAUUUGUUUAACAGGUGUUUGUGAAGCACCUGCUCUGUGUGGAACACUGCACACAGUUGGCUGCCGGCUCAGCCCCCGAAUUGCUUGCUGUCUUCUCUCAGACUUUCAUGUCUCCUACAUCUCAGCGAAUUUCAG